This 492-nucleotide ribosomal RNA is filed under the name uncultured bacterium. Its description in RNAcentral is "partial 16S ribosomal RNA". The stretch from base 66 to 492 matches the Rfam family "Bacterial small subunit ribosomal RNA", at positions 39 to 507 of the family's 1533-position model. The record is from RNAcentral.
GGGGGGGGGGGGGGGGGGGGGGGGGGGGGGGGGGGGGGGGGGGGGGGCGGGGGGGGGGGGCUCGGGCGGGGGGCGGGUGGCGGGCGGGUGGGGAGGACAUCGGACUGCACGUGUUCGGGGGGGAGGGCGGGGGGACGCUUCCGCGCAUCCCGCAUACGCCCUACGGGUGAAAGCAUGUGAUCUUCGGACCUUGCGCGAUCCACUGACCCGAUGUCGGAUUAGCUAGUCGGCGGGGUAAGGGCCCCCCAAGGCGACGAUCCGUCGCUGGGCUGAGAGGAUGAUCAGCCACACUGGAACUGAGACACGGUCCAGACUCCUACGGGAGGCAGCAGUGGGGAAUAUUGGACAAUGUGCGCAAGCCUGAUCCAGCCAUACCGCGUGGGUGAAGAAGGCCUUCGGGUUGUAAAGCCCUUUUGUUGGGAAAGAAAAGCAGCAGGUUAAUACCUCGCUGUUCUGACGGUACCCAAAGAAUAAGCACCGGCUAACUUCGUG